GGAGGGGUGCCGGAGUGGUUGAACGGGGCGGUCUCGAAAACCGUUGGCCCUCGUAAGGGGGCUCGUGGGUUCGAAUCCCACCCCCUCCG
RNAcentral lists this transfer RNA (89 nucleotides) under Methanosarcina sp. RNAcentral's name for it is "tRNA-Ser". It matches the Rfam family "tRNA". Rfam says of the family: Transfer RNA (tRNA) molecules are approximately 80 nucleotides in length. Their secondary structure includes four short double-helical elements and three loops (D, anti-codon, and T loops). RNAcentral also lists the same sequence under 4 other names. The record is from RNAcentral. Lineage: Archaea; Methanobacteriati; Methanobacteriota; Methanomicrobia; Methanosarcinales; Methanosarcinaceae.